GACGAACGCUGGCGGCGUGCUUAACACAUGCAAGUCGAACGGAAAGGCCUGCUUUCCCUUGUGGAUUGCGGGUACUCGAGUGGCGAACGGGUGAGUAACACGUGAGUGAUCUGCCCCCAACUUGGGUAUAAGCCUGGGAAACUGGGUCUAAUUCCCGAUAGGACUGCAGGGUGGUGCCUGUGGUGGAAAACGAUUUUCUAGUGGUUGGGGAUGAGCUCGCGGCCUAUCAGCUUGUUGGUGGGGUAAUGGCCUACCAAGGCGGCGACGGGUAGCCGGCCUGAGAGGGUGGACGGCCACAUUGGGACUGAGCUACGGCCCAGACUCCGACGGGAGGCAGCAGUGGGGGAUAAUGCACAAUGGGCGGAAGCAUGAUGCAGGGACGCCGCGUGGGGGAUGACGGCCUUCGGGUUGUAAACUCCUUUCGACCGCGAGGAAGCCACCUGGUUGGAAGGGUGGUGACGGUAGUGGUAGAAGAAGCACCGGCUAACUACGU
Molecule: ribosomal RNA, 493 nt
Filed under: uncultured bacterium
Lineage: Bacteria
Description: partial 16S ribosomal RNA
Rfam family: Bacterial small subunit ribosomal RNA
Source: RNAcentral